CGAUUGGUUAGACAGGUGCUUGGAGGGGUUGUAUCGGACCUAAGAGUAGAGGUUGAUUCCACUCUCCCACCACGCACUUUUCGUAUCAUCCUAGAUCUGGAUGCCCUUCAUGGAACCUAAAAACCAGCGAGUCCCGGAAAGGCCUCAGGCAAUUGCCAAGCCGAUGGCCUUCUGCCACUUAGUUAAUGUGCACCUGGCAGCUUAGGUGGCCGCGGAGAAAGCAACUUUGGCUGCACCAAGGUCCGGCACAAGUCUGGAGAAGCUUCAGCCAGUUCCAGUGAGUUGGGAUAAAUGAAACGUGGAUCUACCAUAGACGUCUGUCCGUCUUACUGGAUAAGCGAGCACCUUUACCGGGGAAGUUAGAUGGCUGGAGUCAGCUGGCAAAUACAGAAGCAGGAAACAUUACACUGAAGCUCAGAAAAUAAUAUCCCCAAAUGAAGGCAUCAGAAAUAAAAGUUCUUCUCUGACCUUCUUUCUCUCAAGAUUCACGUGUCUGGAUUUGUUGACUUAGUGGGUUGGCACAGGGUACAUGCAGACCCCAGGUCAAAUGAGUACUGAGAUUUUUCUCUUCUAUGAGAUGUAUUUCAAUCCCCUGAAGUUUCCACGGGAAUUCUUUAUUUCAUGGUGGAUGAGGUCGUAUGUCCUGUCCCAUAACUGUCCUGCCACCAUCACCUGAUUUUCAACCAUAACCUGUUUUUGGUCAUGCUCUGAGCCCCCAUUUUUUCUGUAACCUCCAGGUGGUGUUUAAGCUGCUGCACCCCAUUGAGGGGUUAGUGGUAAUCGCUCUGUGGUUCCCUCUGUGUGCACACGAAUAAAUUUGUAUGCCUUUUCUCCAAUUAAUCCUGCCUUUUGUGAGUUGAUUUUUCAGCGAAACUUCAGAGGACAAAGUGGAAGUUUUCCCUUGGCCCCUAUAAUUCUUUCAUAUUGCCUUAAUUUCUUACAUUAUGACUAUAUUUAUGUAUUUCUUAUAUAAUUUAAAAUAAAAGGUAUAUGAUUAACAUUAGAAUACAAUGAUGUUCAUGAAUGGCACCCAUCCACUUGAGCCCCAGUAAAUUGCUGCCCCUGUGGUCUUAGCACUAAGACCGGGGAGUGGCAUUUCGGCUGGGAGGGUGUUUGCAAAUCUGUAGCUAGUGUAGCUCCUGCAGCUUGUGCCAAUGCGGACAGCGUCAUCAGCCAUCCACUGACCCCACCAAGGUGCAAGCAGCCCCAGGGCAAAGUCAGGGAGCUGCUGGAUAACAAAGGGCAAAUUCUAUAACUUUUCCAAUUCUCAGUUUUUUCAUCUUUAAAAUGGGAAUAAAGGCAAUGAUAGCAGUCCCAGCUCACUCAUAGAGUUUUAGUUUGUUUUUGUUUUUGUUUGUUUGUUUGUUUUUUCCUGGCAAUAUCCUGCUUGAUAUUUCCAUGCAUUGCAGCUCUGACCUAGUGACUGAAGACUGAAACAAGGUAAAAGGUCAAAGGCGGAUGAUGAAUGGCUGGAGCCAAACUGGGAUGAGUUAACUAACUGAUACAUAUCAUAGUGACCUAGUUCUGCCUGGCAUCUUUGCAGAACUAAAACUGGGACCUAAAUAGCAUUGUUUCCAGGAGAAGAAAACUGGUUGGCAAUUUGUCAAAAUAGUAGAAGCGAGGUCUCAGCCCCGUUUUUUUUUUUUAUGGCCUUAUGAAUUUUAAGUAACCUCAGGAAGGCAUUGGAAGUUUUCCUUGAGAUAGAAAUCUCUCCCUCUGUCCUUUUCAAAGCCUCCAUGGACAAAAUACUAUCAAAAUGAUCGUUAUUCUGCCAGUCAUGUUAACAAGGAAGUGUGCAUUUUAAUAAUUUUUCAUUCCUUUUCCCCAGAGAGAUAGACACAGGGAAUGCCAGCUCAAAGGCCAAUGUAUCCACACAUCCACCCUUAAUUAAAUAGGUGGGCAAGAGUAUACAUUUUGCAAUUUAAAAAACUAUUUUACUACAGAACUAGAUUCCUACUUUUUCUGGGUUUAAAGACACACAUGGUCUUAGCAUAUGUACAUACAUAUAUAAAGUGAGUAAGGCAAUCUAGAAAUGUACACAAAAGAAAGUAAAAUUCUUCCCCAAACUCACCACCAGGAGAUACUGCAAAUGACAGCUUUGUGCAUGUCCAUUUCUGAAAAGUAUGUUUUCCUUUAUAUAUAUUUAAAUUUUUUUCCAGUACAAAUACAUCAGGGAAGCCAAUGGCUGUCUACUGUUUCACUUGCUCAGUGUAUAGUAAUAAUAGACAAAAAUACUUUUUUCUCCCUUUCAGAAAGUCCUGCUUUCAAGGGAGGUUGAUUCUCUGUUACCACAGUCGGGGGCUACAUUGAUAGAAUUAUUCCACAGCAUUCCUGAAAACUCGGUCUGGUAAUUUUUCUGCCCUUUUCACUUCCUGCAGGUCAAACAUCCUAAAGACCAACAAGAGUUUUGACAUUUAGGCUCAACCCCUAUUCUGGGGGAGUGCCUGUACACUUAGGAUUCAGUGGGACAACCUCUCUACCUUCUUCCCUCAGUUUUGUGUGUUGAUUAUUACUGGCCUGACUUUUUAGCCAUUUUCUGUCCCUUUCUCUAAUAAGAUAAAACUUGGUGUGGAACCUACCCAGUAAGUUUGGUGAAGUUUCUAACCAUCUAUGAAGUAGUGCCUUCUGUGCUCCCUUCUACCCCCACCCCCGCAGCCAGUGCUGGUUCCCCACACCUGGUCACUAGGCUCUGUAAGCUUCUCAGGGCCAGCCAGUUCUGCGCUGGCACCAAGCCAGUCUCAGCAAACAAAGAACAAUCGGCAUGUUGUUCUCAAUCCAGUUCACACUUAAAACCCUCUGGGCCAGGCACAACCUCCCUCCACUGCCCUCAGACUCUUUGACUUUCUGAUUGACUGGGUGGUGACACCUGGGCUGGGGAGCAAAGCAGUAAGGAGAGGCAGCAGAAAGCAAUAGUUAUGCUUCCGUUGCAGAAGCACCUUCCACUCCCUGUCCAGGCUGGUGAAGAUCUUCCAUGACAUUAAUCCUUGCAAAGGCUAUGUUUCCUCCCCACCUCCAAUAGGUAGAAUAAGUGGAAGAAACGCCAACACAAUACUGAUUGUUUUUUCUUUAUUUGAUUACUCUAAGGCUGCUUUUGAAAUAUCAAAUGUGAAGCUUUUUCUAAAAACAUAUUUUGUUGUCUGCCCUAAGCACAUGCUUAGCCUGCCUAUAAUGUAAACCAGCUAUGGUGGCCAGACAUACACACAUCAGAAUUUGGGAAACUGGUAGCAUUUUCAUUUACUAGUAGCAUUUUCACUUCAAUUUCAAUAACAUUCAAUAAUAAUUAAUAAUUUCUGCCAGUGAAAUCUUACUACUGGAAAUCCAAAACUGAUGUUUGUUCUACUUAAAUGUAAAUUUCUUGACCCAUCACACUUUGAUAAGUAUUGCUAAGAGGUGGAAGAAAAAGAUACCUACAAAACUUAAGAAACUUUGCCCUCAAUAGCAUAUUUUUUAAAGUAAAACUUUAUUUUCCUUGCAGUCCCUUUGAAGAUGUUUUAACUUUUAGAAAUCGAAGACCUAGUUAUGUGACAAAUAUUAAAAUCACCAGGAGAGAAUUUUUAAUGUACCAUUGCCCAGGCCUCCCUCCUGCACACUCCUCCAUGCUGAGUUGCCAUAGGGUGGCUGUCAUCUCUAUUGCUUUAAAAGCUUCCCAGGUGAUUCUAAUAUGAAGCCAGCUUUGAGACCCAGUAAGAAGACGUGUGUACACCCCAUCAGAUGGUCCAGGAGAAAAUAAUGCAGUGACUAACUCAUCAGUAGUUUCCGUCUGUCUUCCAUUAACAAAAACGGUUACCAUUUCAGAUUAACUCAGCAAAAAAAAAUAUGAAUUAAAUUAUAACAGAAGGUACUAGAGAUACCGAUAUAGAGAAUUGUAGAUAUGUCUAGUAAACUAUGUCCAUGUAUGUUAAAUCUUAACUAUCAAGACAUUUCAUUAGGGUACUUGUGAAUCAUGUAUGGCCUGGAAUGGUGAAAUUCAAGUCUUGGAGUAUCUCUUUCAUACUCUUAGCUACUCUAGUUGCCACUGGCAACCUUAGACCAUGUUGAUUUGUGUCCUUCAGGAGGCUUAAGCCUCUGUAAGUAACUGAUGGUCCAGCAUAGCCAGUAUUUCCAGUCCUUUGCCACAAUUGCUCUCAGUGUGUCUGAACACAGCUUUUUCCCUGCACAGGGGUUGAGCAGCAGAGAUCUGCCACUGCCUCUCCAAAUGUACAUCAAUGGCAUCUAUCCCAAGCUGGGGUCAGGGCUACAGAUACAGGCAGUAGUAUCUCCUCAUUGUUGUU
RNAcentral lists this long non-coding RNA (4271 nucleotides) under Homo sapiens (human). Its description in RNAcentral is "HSALNT0334465". Lineage: Eukaryota; Metazoa; Chordata; Mammalia; Primates; Hominidae. The record is from RNAcentral.